This 497-nucleotide ribosomal RNA is filed under the name uncultured bacterium. RNAcentral describes it as "partial 16S ribosomal RNA". It matches the Rfam family "Bacterial small subunit ribosomal RNA", at positions 28 to 507 of the family's 1533-position model. The record is from RNAcentral.
GAUGAACGCUGGCGGCGUGCCUAAUAUAUGCAAGUCGAGCGAACGGACGAGAAGCUUGCUUUUCUGAUGUUAGCGGCGGACGGGUGAGUAACACGUGGAUAACCUACCUAUAAGACUGGGAUAACUUCGGGAAACCGGAGCUAAUACCGGAUAAUAUUUUGAACCGCAUGGUUCAAAAGUGAAAGACGGUCUUGCUGUCACUUAUAGAUGGAUCCGCGCUGCAUUAGCUAGUUGGUAAGGUAACGGCUUACCAAGGCAACGAUGCAUAGCCGACCUGAGAGGGUGAUCAGCCACACUGGAACUGAGACACGGUCCAGACUCCUACGGGAGGCAGCAGUAGGGAAUCUUCCGCAAUGGGCGAAAGCCUGACGGAGCAACGCCGCGUGAGUGAUGAAGGUCUUCGGAUCGUAAAACUCUGUUAUUAGGGAAGAACAUAUGUGUAAGUAACUGUGCACAUCUUGACGGUACCUAAUCAGAAAGCCACGGCUAACUACGUG